Molecule: ribosomal RNA, 253 nt
Filed under: uncultured bacterium
Lineage: Bacteria
Description: partial 16S ribosomal RNA
Rfam family: Bacterial small subunit ribosomal RNA
Source: RNAcentral
UACGUAGGGGGCAAGCGUUGUCCGGAAUCAUUGGGCGUAAAGCGCGUGUAGGCGGCCAGAAAAGUCCGCUGUGAAAACUCGAGGCUCAACUUCGAGCUGUCGGUGGAAACUUUCUGGCUAGAGUCCGGAAGAGGAGAAUGGAAUUCCAGGUGUAGCGGUGAAAUGCGUAGAUAUCUGGAGGAAUACCGGUGGCGAAGGCGGCAUCCUGGACCGAGAUUGACACUGAUGAGCGAAAGCCAGGGGAGCAAACGGG